RNAcentral lists this ribosomal RNA (497 nucleotides) under uncultured bacterium. Its description in RNAcentral is "partial 16S ribosomal RNA". It matches the Rfam family "Bacterial small subunit ribosomal RNA", at positions 28 to 507 of the family's 1533-position model. The record is from RNAcentral.
GAUGAACGCUGGCGGCGUGCCUAAUACAUGCAAGUCGAGCGAACAGACGAGGAGCUUGCUCCUCUGACGUUAGCGGCGGACGGGUGAGUAACACGUGGAUAACCUACCUAUAAGACUGGGAUAACUUCGGGAAACCGGAGCUAAUACCGGAUAAUAUAUUGAACCGCGUGGUUCAAUAGUGAAAGACGGUUUUGCUGUCACUUAUAGAUGGAUCCGCGCCGCAUUAGCUAGUUGGUAAGGUAACGGCUUACCAAGGCAACGAUGCGUAGCCGACCUGAGAGGGUGAUCGGCCACACUGGAACUGAGACACGGUCCAGACUCCUACGGGAGGCAGCAGUAGAGAAUCUUCCGCAAUGGGCGAAAGCCUGACGGAGCAACGCCGCGUGAGUGAUGAAGGUCUUCGGAUCGUAAAACUCUGUUAUUAGGGAAGAACAAAUGUGUAAGUAACUAUGCACGUCUUGACGGUACCUAAUCAGAAAGCCACGGCUAACUACGUG